This 67-nucleotide transfer RNA is filed under the name Polyura narcaeus (China nawab). Its description in RNAcentral is "tRNA-Phe". The record is from RNAcentral. Lineage: Eukaryota; Metazoa; Arthropoda; Insecta; Lepidoptera; Nymphalidae.
AUUUAAAUAGCUUAAAAUUAAGAGUAUAAUAUUGAAGAUAUUAGGGUGAUAAAUUUAUCUUUAAAUA